This 550-nucleotide ribosomal RNA is filed under the name uncultured bacterium. RNAcentral describes it as "bacterial SSU rRNA". It matches the Rfam family "Bacterial small subunit ribosomal RNA", at positions 355 to 896 of the family's 1533-position model. The record is from RNAcentral.
UGGGGAAUUUUGGACAAUGGGCGCAAGCCUGAUCCAGCCAUGCCGCGUGUCUGAAGAAGGCCUUCGGGUUGUAAAGGACUUUUGUCAGGGAAGAAAAGGACAGGGUUAAUACCUCUGUUUGAUGACGGUACCUGAAGAAUAAGCACCGGCUAACUACGUGCCAGCAGCCGCGGUAAUACGUAGGGUGCGAGCGUUAAUCGGAAUUACUGGGCGUAAAGCGAGCGCAGACGGUUACUUAAGCAGGAUGUGAAAUCCCCGGGCUCAACCUGGGAACUGCGUUCUGAACUGGGUGACUAGAGUGUGUCAGAGGGAGGUAGAAUUCCACGUGUAGCAGUGAAAUGCGUAGAGAUGUGGAGGAAUACCGAUGGCGAAGGCAGCCUCCUGGGAUAACACUGACGUUCAUGCUCGAAAGCGUGGGUAGCAAACAGGAUUAGAUACCCUGGUAGUCCACGCCCUAAACGAUGUCAAUUAGCUGUUGGGCAACUUGAUUGCUUAGUAGCGUAGCUAACGCGUGAAAUUGACCGCCUGGGGAGUAACGGUCGCAAGAUUA